This 1337-nucleotide ribosomal RNA is filed under the name Psychrobacter sp. 09BSWS-7a. RNAcentral describes it as "16S ribosomal RNA". It matches the Rfam family "Bacterial small subunit ribosomal RNA", at positions 90 to 1425 of the family's 1533-position model. The record is from RNAcentral. Lineage: Bacteria; Pseudomonadati; Pseudomonadota; Gammaproteobacteria; Moraxellales; Moraxellaceae.
GACGAGCGGCGGACGGGUGAGUAAUACUUAGGAAUCUACCUAGUAGUGGGGGAUAGCACGGGGAAACUCGUAUUAAUACCGCAUACGACCUACGGGAGAAAGGGGGCAGUUUACUGCUCUCGCUAUUAGAUGAGCCUAAGUCGGAUUAGCUAGAUGGUGGGGUAAAGGCCUACCAUGGCGACGAUCUGUAGCUGGUCUGAGAGGAUGAUCAGCCACACCGGGACUGAGACACGGCCCGGACUCCUACGGGAGGCAGCAGUGGGGAAUAUUGGACAAUGGGGGAAACCCUGAUCCAGCCAUGCCGCGUGUGUGAAGAAGGCCUUUUGGUUGUAAAGCACUUUAAGCAGUGAAGAAGACUCCAUGGUUAAUACCCAUGGACGAUGACAUUAGCUGCAGAAUAAGCACCGGCUAACUCUGUGCCAGCAGCCGCGGUAAUACAGAGGGUGCAAGCGUUAAUCGGAAUUACUGGGCGUAAAGGGAGCGUAGGUGGCUCUAUAAGUCAGAUGUGAAAUCCCCGGGCUUAACCUGGGAACUGCAUCUGAAACUGUAGAGCUAGAGUAUGUGAGAGGAAGGUAGAAUUCCAGGUGUAGCGGUGAAAUGCGUAGAGAUCUGGAGGAAUACCGAUGGCGAAGGCAGCCUUCUGGCAUAAUACUGACACUGAGGCUCGAAAGCGUGGGUAGCAAACAGGAUUAGAUACCCUGGUAGUCCACGCCGUAAACGAUGUCUACUAGUCGUUGGGUCCCUUGAGGACUUAGUGACGCAGCUAACGCAAUAAGUAGACCGCCUGGGGAGUACGGCCGCAAGGUUAAAACUCAAAUGAAUUGACGGGGGCCCGCACAAGCGGUGGAGCAUGUGGUUUAAUUCGAUGCAACGCGAAGAACCUUACCUGGUCUUGACAUAUCUAGAAUCCUGCAGAGAUGCGGGAGUGCCUUCGGGAAUUAGAAUACAGGUGCUGCAUGGCUGUCGUCAGCUCGUGUCGUGAGAUGUUGGGUUAAGUCCCGCAACGAGCGCAACCCUUGUCCUUAGUUACCAGCGGGUUAAGCCGGGAACUCUAAGGAUACUGCCAGUGACAAACUGGAGGAAGGCGGGGACGACGUCAAGUCAUCAUGGCCCUUACGACCAGGGCUACACACGUGCUACAAUGGUAGGUACAGAGGGCAGCUACACAGCGAUGUGAUGCGAAUCUCAAAAAGCCUAUCGUAGUCCAGAUUGGAGUCUGCAACUCGACUCCAUGAAGUAGGAAUCGCUAGUAAUCGCGGAUCAGAAUGCCGCGGUGAAUACGUUCCCGGGCCUUGUACACACCGCCCGUCACACCAUGGGAGUUGAUUGCACCAGAA